This 52-nucleotide transfer RNA is filed under the name Bavayia robusta. RNAcentral's name for it is "partial tRNA-Tyr". Lineage: Eukaryota; Metazoa; Chordata; Lepidosauria; Squamata; Diplodactylidae. The record is from RNAcentral.
UAGGUGGCAGGCUGUAGUCCUGCAAACCUGGGUUUAAAUCCUGUUUCUAUCA